GAACGGCCUCUAGUGCAGAUCUUGGUGGUAGUAGCAAAUAUUCAAGUGAGAACUUUGAAGACUGAAGUGGGGAAAGGUUCCAUGUGAACAGCAGUUGUACAUGGGUGAGUCGGUCCUAAGGCGUGCAGAGGGUGGUUUGUAGGCACCGCGGCGUCGAAAGGGAAGCAGGUUAAUAUGUCCUGCACAAGGGUAGGUGUGCUAAAAGGUGGCGACACGUGGAGUGUCUGGAGACGUCUGCGGGUACCCCGGGAAGAGUUGUCUUUUCUAUUUGACAGAGAGAGUGUUGUGCGGAGUCGAGUUGUUGGGCGAUGCAGAGCAUGUCUUUGGCAUAGCCUCGUCUGUAUGUGGCGAGGUCCGGUGUGUAUUCGACGGUCCGUGAAAAUCCAGGCGCUAGAAGUGAAGGUAAGGUCCUCCGUUGCCGUACUGAUAACCGCAACAGGUCUCCAAGGUGAAAAGCCUCUAGUUGAUAGAAGAAUGUAGAUAAGGGAAGUCGGCAAGAUAGAUCCGUAACUUUGGGAAAAGGAUUGGCUCUGAGGGUUGGGCGUCUGGUGCA
Molecule: ribosomal RNA, 553 nt
Filed under: Conticribra weissflogii
Lineage: Eukaryota; Bacillariophyta; Thalassiosirophyceae; Thalassiosirales; Thalassiosiraceae
Description: partial Eukaryotic large subunit ribosomal RNA
Rfam family: Eukaryotic large subunit ribosomal RNA
Source: RNAcentral